Daphnia magna is the source of this 326-nucleotide long non-coding RNA. RefSeq lists it as uncharacterized. NCBI's taxonomy places the organism in Eukaryota, Metazoa, Arthropoda, Branchiopoda, Diplostraca, Daphniidae. The record is from RefSeq and is a predicted model, not a curated record. The transcript has 2 exons.
GGAGCAUGACUUGGCUUUGCCAGAACGUUUUCGUCUUCUCUAAGUCAAAUGCAUCAAAUUUUAGUACUAAAGGUUCUCUAAACAGAAAUUAUCUUAGUAAUGUUUUCCAUAAUCUAGUUGUUAUACCUCUUUCAGGUUCCAUAAGCUGAAUUUCUCUCACUUGCUACAGCUGUAAUCUUUUACAUACAGAUUAGUUGUGUAACUGUACCUUCAGACCUAUUGAUGUAUUUGGUAUGCUGCAGUGACCACAUAACAUAAUCAUUCUGUGACAGAAAAGAAUGCCACCAAUGUUUGUUGUCAGUCUUAAUAAAAUAUCUCUAGGGUUA